Molecule: non-coding RNA, 120 nt
Organism: Glycine soja
Lineage: Eukaryota; Viridiplantae; Streptophyta; Magnoliopsida; Fabales; Fabaceae
Source: Rfam
UUCUUAUUUGAUUAUGAUUGUCAUGUGUCAUGUUCUGAUUGGAUGUCAACUCCAUGAAAGAUGAAAUGCAUUGUUGUUUUCAUUGACCAAUCAGAACAUGACACAUGACAGUUAUCAUCU